GAUGAACGCUGGCGGCGUGCCUAAUACAUGCAAGUCGAGCGAACAGACGAGGAGCUUGCGCCUCGGACGUUAGCGGCGGACGGGUGAGUAACACGUGUAUAACCUACCUAUAAGACGGGGAUAACUUCGGGAAACCGGAGCUAAUACCGGAUAAGAUAUUGAACCGCAUGGGUCAAUAGUGAAAGACGGUUUUGCGGUCACUUAUAGAUGGAUCCGCGCCGCAUUAGCUAGUUGGGAAGGUAACGGCUUACCACGGCAACGAUGCGUAGCCGAAGUGAGAGGGUGAUAGGCCACCCGGGAACUGAGACACGGUCCAGACUCCUACGGGAGGCAGCAGUCGGGAAUCGUCCGCAAUAGGCGAAAGCCUGACGGAGCAGCGCCGCGUGAGUGAUGACGGUCUUCGGAUCGUAAAGCUCUGUUACUAGGGAAGAACAACUGUGUACGUAACUAUGCACGUCUUGACGGUAACUAAUCAGAAAGCCACGGCUAACUACGUG
Molecule: ribosomal RNA, 497 nt
Filed under: uncultured bacterium
Lineage: Bacteria
Description: partial 16S ribosomal RNA
Rfam family: Bacterial small subunit ribosomal RNA
Source: RNAcentral